RNAcentral lists this ribosomal RNA (424 nucleotides) under uncultured bacterium. RNAcentral's name for it is "bacterial SSU rRNA". It matches the Rfam family "Bacterial small subunit ribosomal RNA", at positions 355 to 787 of the family's 1533-position model. The record is from RNAcentral.
UGGGGAAUAUUGCACAAUGGGGGAAACCCUGAUGCAGCGACGCCGCGUGAGCGAUGAAGUAUUUCGGUAUGUAAAGCUCUAUCAGCAGGGAAGAAAAUGACGGUACCUGACUAAGAAGCACCGGCUAAAUACGUGCCAGCAGCCGCGGUAAUACGUAUGGUGCAAGCGUUAUCCGGAUUUACUGGGUGUAAAGGGAGCGUAGACGGAUGGGCAAGUCUGAUGUGAAAAAGCCCCGGGGGACUCAAACCCCCGGGGCACUGCAUUGGAAACUGUUCAUCUAGAGUGCUGAAGAGGUAAGUGGAAUUCCUAGUGUAGCGGUGAAAUGCGUAGAUAUUAGGAGGAACACCAGUGGCGAAGGCGGCUUACUGGACAGUAACUGACGUUGAGGCUCGAAAGCGUGGGGAGCAAACAGGAUUAGAUACCC